RNAcentral lists this ribosomal RNA (405 nucleotides) under uncultured bacterium. RNAcentral describes it as "partial 16S ribosomal RNA". It matches the Rfam family "Bacterial small subunit ribosomal RNA", at positions 30 to 526 of the family's 1533-position model. The record is from RNAcentral.
AUUGAACGCUAGCGGGGUGCUUUACACAUGCAAGUCGAACGAGAGGCGGACGGGUGAGUAAGAUAUCGGAACGUGCCCAGUAGCGGGGGAUAACUACGCGAAAGAGUGGCUAAUACAGCAUACUAUGGGAGCGGCCGAUAGCGGAUUAGCUAGUGGGUGGUGUAAAGGAUCACAAAGGCGACGAUCCGUAGCUGGUUUGAGAGGACGACCAGCCACACUGGGACUGAGACACGGCCCAGACUCCUACGGGAGGCAGCAGUGGGGAAUUUUGGACAAUGGGGGAAACCCUGAUCCAGCCAUCCCGCGUGUAUGAGAAGGCCUUCGGGUUGUAAAGUACUUUUGUCAGAGAAGCGGUAUCUGCAGAAUAAGCACCGGCUAACUACGUGCCAGCCGCCGCGGUAAUUC